UUAUUAACGCUGGCGGCGUGCCUAAUACAUGCAAGUCGAGCGAACAGACGAGGAGCUUGCUCCUCUGACGUUAGCGGCGGACGGGUGAGUAACACGUGGAUAACCUACCUAUAAGACUGGGAUAACUUCGGGAAACCGGAGCUAAUACCGGAUAAUAUAUUGAACCGCAUGGUUCAAUAGUGAAAGACGGUUUUGCUGUCACUUAUAGAUGGAUCCGCGCCGCAUUAGCUAGUUGGUAAGGUAACGGCUUACCAAGGCAACGAUGCGUAGCCGACCUGAGAGGGUGAUCGGCCACACUGGAACUGAGACACGGUCCAGACUCCUACGGGAGGCAGCAGUAGGGAAUCUUCCGCAAUGGGCGAAAGCCUGACGGAGCAACGCCGCGUGAGUGAUGAAGGUCUUCGGAUCGUAAAACUCUGUUAUUAGGGAAGAACAAAUGUGUAAGUAACUAUGCACGUCUUGACGGUACCUAAUCAGAAAGCCACGGCUAACUACGUG
RNAcentral lists this ribosomal RNA (498 nucleotides) under uncultured bacterium. RNAcentral's name for it is "partial 16S ribosomal RNA". It matches the Rfam family "Bacterial small subunit ribosomal RNA", at positions 29 to 507 of the family's 1533-position model. The record is from RNAcentral.